CCAGACUCCUACGGGAGGCAGCAGUGGGGAAUAUUGCACAAUGGGGGAAACCCUGAUGCAGCGACGCCGCGUGAAGGACGAAGUAUUUCGGUACGUAAACUUCUAUCAGCAGGGAAGAAAAUGACGGUACCUGACCAAGAAGCCCCGGCUAACUACGUGCCAGCAGCCGCGGUAAUACGUAGGGGGCAAGCGUUAUCCGGAUUUACUGGGUGUAAAGGGAGCGUAGACGGCCAUGCAAGUCUGAUGUGAAAACCCGGGGCUCAACCCCGGGACUGCAUUGGAAACUGUGCGGCUGGAGUGUCGGAGAGGCAAGUGGAAUUCCUAGUGUAGCGGUGAAAUGCGUAGAUAUUAGGAGGAACACCAGUGGCGAAGGCGGCCUGCUGGACAGAAACUGACGUUGAGGCCCGAAAGCGUGGGGAGCAAACAGGAUUAGAUACCCCCGUAU
This 445-nucleotide ribosomal RNA is filed under the name uncultured bacterium. RNAcentral's name for it is "bacterial SSU rRNA". It matches the Rfam family "Bacterial small subunit ribosomal RNA", at positions 331 to 793 of the family's 1533-position model. The record is from RNAcentral.